ACGCGAAGAACCUUACCUGGGUUCGAAAUGCAGUUGUAAGCCUCAGAGAUGAGGUCCCCUCUUCGGAGGCAGCUGUAUAGGUGCUGCAUGGCUGUCGUCAGCUCGUGUCGUGAGAUGUUGGGUUAAGUCCCGCAACGAGCGCAACCCUUGUCCAUAGUUGCUAACGCGUAGUGGCGAGAACUCUAUGGAGACUGCCGGUGAUAAACCGGAGGAAGGUGGGGAUGACGUCAAGUCCUCAUGGCCUUUAUGUCCAGGGCUACACACGUGCUACAAUGGACGGUACAAAGAGUCGCGAUCCCGCGAGGGGGAGCUAAUCUCAAAAAGCCGUUCUCAGUUCGGAUUGUUCUCUGCAACUCGAGAGCAUGAAGCUGGAAUCGCUAGUAAUCGCGGAUCAGCACGCCGCGGUGAAUACGUUCCCGGGCCUUGUA
Molecule: ribosomal RNA, 428 nt
Filed under: uncultured Acidobacterium sp.
Lineage: Bacteria; Pseudomonadati; Acidobacteriota; Terriglobia; Terriglobales; Acidobacteriaceae
Description: bacterial SSU rRNA
Rfam family: Bacterial small subunit ribosomal RNA
Source: RNAcentral